This 492-nucleotide ribosomal RNA is filed under the name uncultured bacterium. RNAcentral describes it as "partial 16S ribosomal RNA". It matches the Rfam family "Bacterial small subunit ribosomal RNA", at positions 29 to 507 of the family's 1533-position model. The record is from RNAcentral.
AGUGAACGCUGGCGGUAGGCCUAACACAUGCAAGUCGAACGGCAGCACAGUAAGAGCUUGCUCUUACGGGUGGCGAGUGGCGGACGGGUGAGGAAUACAUCGGAAUCUACUUUUUCGUGGGGGAUAACGUAGGGAAACUUACGCUAAUACCGCAUACGACCUACGGGUGAAAGCAGGGGAUCUUCGGACCUUGCGCGAUUGAAUGAGUCGAUGUCGGAUUAGCUAGUUGGCGGGGUAAAGGCCCACCAAGGCGACGAUCCGUAGCUGGUCUGAGAGGAUGAUCAGCCACACUGGAGCUGAGACACGGUCCAGACUCCUACGGGAGGCAGCAGUGGGGAAUAUUGGACAAUGGGCGCAAGCCUGAUCCAGCCAUACCGCGUGGGUGAAGAAGGCCUUCGGGUUGUAAAGCCCUUUUGUUGGGAAAGAAAAGCAGCAGGUUAAUACCCCGCUGUUCUGACGGUACCCAAAGAAUAAGCACCGGCUAACUUCGUG